This 253-nucleotide ribosomal RNA is filed under the name uncultured bacterium. RNAcentral's name for it is "partial 16S ribosomal RNA". It matches the Rfam family "Bacterial small subunit ribosomal RNA", at positions 524 to 776 of the family's 1533-position model. The record is from RNAcentral.
UACGGAGGGUGCAAGCGUUAAUCGGAAUUACUGGGCGUAAAGCGCACGCAGGUGGCUGAGUCAGUCGAUUGUGAAAUCCCCGGGCUUAACCUGGGAACUGCAGUCGAGACUGUCUAGCUAGAGUAUGGGAGAGGGAAGUGGAAUUUCAGGUGUAGCGGUGAAAUGCGUAGAUAUCUGAAGGAACAUCAGUGGCGAAAGCGACUUCCUGGACCAAUACUGACGCUCAUGUGCGAAAGCGUGGGGAGCAAACAGG